Long non-coding RNA from Psammomys obesus (fat sand rat), 761 nucleotides. RefSeq lists it as uncharacterized. The transcript is spliced from 2 exons. Lineage: Eukaryota; Metazoa; Chordata; Mammalia; Rodentia; Muridae. The record is from RefSeq and is a predicted model, not a curated record.
AGACUAAAGUUCCGCUUUGCGCUUGUCCCUCCGGAGUGUAGCGGUUUCGUUGGGCUUCUAAAGCUGCUUGAGCUAUGACUGCUGUGCUAGAAGACAGGAUUUCUCUGUUUAGCCCUGGCUGUCCUGGAACUGGCUCUGUAGACCAGGCUGGUGUUGAACUCAAGAGAUCUUCCUGUCUCUGCCUCCUGAGUGCUGGGACUAGAGGUGUGCGAUACCACAGCCAUCACAGCUACCACCCAGCUAAUUCUGAAUGGUAUUAAAAUUAAUGCACCAUCCGUUCGGCCCCCCAUAUUUAUUUGUUUUUAAUUAUGUGUAUGUCUGUAUCCAGAUGUUUGAGGCCAGAAGAGGACAUGGACACCUCAGUGCUACUUGCUUCAGCUGCCUACUAUUAAUUCUGGGGACCAAACUGCAAGAGCAGCACUCACACUUCACCACCGAGCUCAUGAGUCUUUCCAACCCAUACACCUCUCUACUUCUGUCUCUCUCUCAUUCUCCCUCUCCCUCCUUCCCUUUCCCCGACUCUCAUUUGUUUUUGUUUUGCUUUUGAGACAGGGUCUCAGUAUGUAACUUUGGCUGACCUGGAACUCACUGUUGUAGAUCAGGCUGGCCUCGAACUCAGAGAUCUGCUCCCCUGCCUCCUGAGUGCUGGGAUUGAAAGUGUGUGCUACCAUGUCCAGUGCUUCAUUUCUUGACAUAUCAUUUAUGGCUGCUUUUGUCACAGUCUAAAUGGCCCAUAAAACCUAAAGCAUUUAUUCACUUGA